UGGGGAAUAUUGGACAAUGGGCGCAAGCCUGAUCCAGCAAUUCCGCGUGUGUGAAGAAGGCCUUCGGGUUGUAAAGCACUUUAAGCAGGGAAGAAAAAGCUUGGCCACACCAAGCCUUGACGGUACCUGAAGAAUAAGCACCGGCUAACUCUGUGCCAGCAGCCGCGGUAAUACAGAGGGUGCGAGCGUUAAUCGGAUUUACUGGGCGUAAAGGGUGCGUAGGUGGUUAGAUAAGUCGGAUGUGAAAUCCUCGGGCUCAACCUGAGAACUGCAUUCGAUACUGUUUGACUAGAGAUCGGUAGAGGGUGGCGGAAUUCCCGGUGUAGCAGUGAAAUGCGUAGAUAUCGGGAGGAACAUCAAUGGCGAAGGCAGCCACCUGGGCCUGAUCUGACACUGAGGC
This 400-nucleotide ribosomal RNA is filed under the name uncultured bacterium. RNAcentral's name for it is "bacterial SSU rRNA". It matches the Rfam family "Bacterial small subunit ribosomal RNA", at positions 355 to 752 of the family's 1533-position model. The record is from RNAcentral.